RNAcentral lists this ribosomal RNA (606 nucleotides) under Triticum aestivum (bread wheat). RNAcentral describes it as "partial small subunit ribosomal RNA". The record is from RNAcentral. Lineage: Eukaryota; Viridiplantae; Streptophyta; Magnoliopsida; Poales; Poaceae.
AUGCUGGAGCGCUUUGUGUUCCGCAGGGACGACGACGAUGACGGCGGCGACUCCUCCGCCUUCCCGGACGAAGCGGCCGCGCCCUUGAGGGCCAACUCCGUCACCUCCCUCGGAGACCCCUUCGCCGUCGCAUUGCUCCCCGCCGCCCCUCCGGCCUUCUCCCGCAUCUACGUGCAGUGGCCGUGCGGUCCACGCACCUACGACGGGUCCGACAUGGGGUCCGAACUCCUGUCCGCCCACCGGGACCUCCUCCUGCUCAGCCUCACCUCCGAGCUGGGCCUCGACGACAGUGACCCUUACCGGCAGGCUACUUCGUCUUCCAUACCGCCCAAGGGGCUGGUGAAUCCCGGCUCAAGCGGCUCCCGGCGUGCACCGUACCCAUUGUGCGGAAACUGUGGGGCGAGGACACAACAAUGGAUCGCUGGUUCAACCGGGACACCAUCGGAAUAUAUUGCGGCAGGGAUGACUCCACCGUGCUGCAGCUGGCCAAGUUCUGUGUUUCAGCAAAGAACAGUGCUAUUGGAGCAGAACUGUGCGUCUUCCGCUCCCCUCUGUCGACCGAUGGCUCUGAUGAUAAUGAUGCCGAGGGCAAGUGGGAGAUUCUGA